RNAcentral lists this ribosomal RNA (232 nucleotides) under uncultured bacterium. RNAcentral describes it as "partial 16S ribosomal RNA". It matches the Rfam family "Bacterial small subunit ribosomal RNA", at positions 118 to 347 of the family's 1533-position model. The record is from RNAcentral.
UGAGCAAUCUGCCCUUCUCAUCGGAAUAAGCGUUGGAAACGACGUCUAAUGCCGAAUACGACCUCCUUUCGCAUGAUCGGAGGUGGAAAGCUCCGGCGGAGAAGGAUGAGCUCGCGGCCUAUCAGCUAGUUGGUGUGGGUAAUGGCCCACCAAGGCGACGACGGGUAGCCGGCCUGAGAAGGUGACCGGCCACACUGGGACUGAGACACGGCCCAGACUCCUACGGGAGCAG